Molecule: long non-coding RNA, 715 nt
Filed under: Mytilus galloprovincialis (Mediterranean mussel)
Lineage: Eukaryota; Metazoa; Mollusca; Bivalvia; Mytilida; Mytilidae
Source: RNAcentral
AAUUUAAUGUUGCAUAUUAAGUUAUACUUUAUUUAAACAUUAUUUAAUAUAUCCUAUUAAAAAGAUUGAUAUGUUAUUAUGUUGAUGGAUUUAAGAUAUUGAAGUAAAUGAAUAAAUAAAUAGAAAAUUUGUGUUGCUGUAUAUGAUUAUUAACUUUUCUUGAUGGAGGGCAGGACUUUUUCGGGACGUUGGAUUGGGUGUUUUUAAGCUCAGGAUUUUGGGAUCCAGGAUUUUCUUUCGUGAUUUUUUUUUUUAAAUUUGGGACCUCAGAAGAUCAUGUUUUUAGCCCGGGAUUUUGGAAUCAGGACCCCUGCAACAUCCCCCACCUCCUUCUUUGACAUAUAAUAUAAAGUCAUUAAAAAAUAAAUCAAUUACAUGUAUUUACAUCAAAAGUCUAAAAUAAUUUCUUUAUUUUUGUUGAAUCAUAUAAACCUCCUUUUGAUUAUUUAAGAUUAAAAAUAAGAAGGAUUUCAAUUUAAAUGAAAUGAUAACAAACAUCUGAAAACAAUCAUAGUAUAUACAUUAUGAGAUUUUCUCAUGUUUAAAGGCUUUCAUGUAGCAAAAAAAUGCCUAUAUAUCCACUCCAAAUGAGUAUUUUGGGAUAGUUGUCUCAUUGGCAAUUAUUCACAUCUGAUUAGUUUUCCAUUAGUAAAAUUCAAAUAAAAAACAUUCAAUUCCAAUUUAAAUGUGAACCUUCUCAUUCUUGGACCACAUA